UACAAGCGAAAACUGCGAAUGGCUCAUUAUAUAAGUUAUCGUUUAUUUGAUAGUACCUUACUACAUGGAUAACCGUGGUAAUUCUAGAGCUAAUACAUGCUGAAAAUCCCGACUUCGGAAGGGAUGUAUUUAUUAGAUUCAAAACCAAUGCCCUUCGGGGCUCCUUUGGUGAUUCAUGAUAACUUCUCGAAUCGCACGGCCCCGUGCCGGCGAUGGUUCAUUCAAAUUUCUUCCCUAUCAACUUUCGAUGCUACGGUAUUGUCCUAGCAUGGUUGCAACGGGUGACGGAGGGUUAGGGCUCGACCCCGGAGAAGGAGCCUGAGAAACGGCUACUACAUCCAAGGAAGGCAGCAGGCGCGCAAAUUACCCAAUCCCGACUCGGGGAGGUAGUGACGAUAAAUACCGAUACAGGGCUCUUUUGGGUCCUGUAAUUGGAAUGAGUACAAUUCAAAUCCCUUAACGAGGAACAAUUGGAGGGCAAGUCUGGUGCCAGCAGCCGCGGUAAUUCCAGCUCCAAUAGCGUAUAUUAAAGUUGUUGUGGUUAAAAAGCUCGUAGUAGAAGCUCGGGCUCCGGCCGACCGGUCCGCCUCACCGCGUGCACUGGUUCGGCCGGGCCUUCACCUUCUGCGGAACCGCAUCCCCUUCACUGGGGGUGUCGGGGAAACAGGACGUUUACUUUGAAAAAAUUAGAGUGCUCCAGGCAGGCCUAUGCUCGAAUAGAUUAGCAUGGAAUAAUGGAAUAGGACGUGUGGUCUUAUUUCGUUGGUUUCUAGGACCGCCGUAAUGAUUAAUAGGGACAGUCGGGGGCAUCAGUAUUCAAUCGUCARAGGUGAAAUUCUUGGAUCGAUUGAARACUAACUACUGCSAAAGCAUUUGCCAAGGAUGUUUUCAUUUAUCAGGAACGAAAGUUAGGGGAUCGAAGACRAUCAGAUACCGUCGUARUCUUAACCAUAAACUAUGCCGACUAGGGAUCGGACGGUGUUAUUUCUUGACCCGUUCGGCACCUUACGARAMAUCAAAGUGCUNGGCUCCA
RNAcentral lists this ribosomal RNA (1033 nucleotides) under Plectosphaerellaceae sp. DBCMVA. RNAcentral's name for it is "SSU rRNA". It matches the Rfam family "Eukaryotic small subunit ribosomal RNA", at positions 75 to 1127 of the family's 1831-position model. The record is from RNAcentral. Lineage: Eukaryota; Fungi; Ascomycota; Sordariomycetes; Glomerellales; Plectosphaerellaceae.